Molecule: non-coding RNA, 454 nt
Organism: Macaca mulatta (Rhesus monkey)
Lineage: Eukaryota; Metazoa; Chordata; Mammalia; Primates; Cercopithecidae
Source: RefSeq, a predicted model, not a curated record
AUUUUCUUUCAGAGAGCCCUCCUGUUAUGUAGGUAAACAAUACUAUAUGCUUUAUUGAGGUACAAUUGGUAUACAGAAUCUUCAUGCAUAUAAUCUGGUAACGUGUGAUGUACCCACUAUGUCUGGGCCCUCCUAAGUUUUUAAUUCUCAAACUUGUCCACACUGAUCUUCUAGCAAUUGCAGUUCUGGUUUUCUAACUCUGGCACUGGCUCCUGAGAAAGAGACUGCUCAUAGACUUCUGCUCCAACAUCCCUGAAAAAAUGCAGACCUGAUCAAUCACUUGACUGAACUCUACUUGAAACACUUGGACUUUGGUCAAAUAAGCAUUUGCCACUUGAUUUAUACAGCAUUCCAACAAACGUCCAACUCAAGUCUUCUCUUGAGCCUGAUCUGCAAGGUUGUUUCUGGUAAGUGUUCUUCAUGGGAUUGCAAACAUGCACCUACUUAUAAAUUA